Molecule: ribosomal RNA, 492 nt
Filed under: uncultured bacterium
Lineage: Bacteria
Description: bacterial SSU rRNA
Rfam family: Bacterial small subunit ribosomal RNA
Source: RNAcentral
GAUGAACGCUAGCGGCAGGCCUAACACAUGCAAGUCGAGGGGCAGCGCGGGUAGCAAUACCUGGCGGCGACCGGCGCACGGGUGAGUAACGCGUAUGCAACCUGCCCGCCACAGGGGGAUAGCCCGCCGAAAGGCGGGCUAAUACCGCAUAUUCUCUGUGGAGGAAAGUGGGGGACCGCAAGGCCUCACGCUUUCGGAGCGGCCGAUGUCCGAUUAGCUAGUUGGUGGGGUAAUGGCUUACCAAGGCGACGAUCGGUAGCUGGUCUGAGAGGAUGAUCAGCCACACUGGAACUGAGACACGGUCCAGACUCCUACGGGAGGCAGCAGUAAGGAAUAUUGCUCAAUGGCCGAAAGGCUGAAGCAGCAACGCCGCGUGGAGGAUGAAAUACUUUUGUAUGUAAACUCCUGUAAGAAGGGAAAAUAUUUCGAUUUAUCGGAAUUGAUUGUACCUUCAGAGUAAGCACCGGCUAACUACGUGCCAGCAGCCGCGGU